ACAUGCAAGUCGAGGGGAAACGAUAUUGGAAGCUUGCUUCCGAUAGGCGUCGACCGGCGCACGGGUGAGUAACGCGUAUCCAACCUGCCCACCACUUGGGGAUAACCUUGCGAAAGUAAGACUAAUACCCAAUGAUAUCUCUAGAAGACAUCUGAAAGAGAUUAAAGAUUUAUCGGUGAUGGAUGGGGAUGCGUCUGAUUAGCUUGUUGGCGGGGUAACGGCCCACCAAGGCGACGAUCAGUAGGGGUUCUGAGAGGAAGGUCCCCCACAUUGGAACUGAGACACGGUCCAAACUCCUACGGGAGGCAGCAGUGAGGAAUAUUGGUCAAUGGGCGAGAGCCUGAACCAGCCAAGUAGCGUGCAGGAUGACGGCCCUAUGGGUUGUAAACUGCUUUUAUAAGGGAAUAAAGUGAGUCUCGUGAGACUUUUUGCAUGUACCUUAUGAAUAAGGACCGGCUAAUUCCGUGCCAGCAGCCGCGGUAAUACGGAAGGUCCGGGCGUUAUCCGGAUCUAUUGGGUUUAAAGGGAGCGUAGGCCGGAGAUUAAGCGUGUUGUGAAAUGUAGAUGCUCAACAUCUGCACUGCAGCGCGAACUGGUUUCCUUGAGUACGCACAAAGUGGGCGGAAUUCGUGGUGUAGCGGUGAAAUGCUUAGAUAUCACGAAGAACUCCGAUUGCGAAGGCAGCUCACUGGAGCGCAACUGACGCUGAAGCUCGAAAGUGCGGGUAUCGAACAGGAUUAGAUACCCUGGUAGUCCGCACGGUAAACGAUGGAUGCCCGCUGUUGGUCUGAAUAGGUCAGCGGCCAAGCGAAAGCAUUAAGCAUCCCACCUGGGGAGUACGCCGGCAACGGUGCAACUCAAAUGAAUUGACGG
Molecule: ribosomal RNA, 873 nt
Filed under: uncultured Bacteroidota bacterium
Lineage: Bacteria; Pseudomonadati; Bacteroidota
Description: bacterial SSU rRNA
Rfam family: Bacterial small subunit ribosomal RNA
Source: RNAcentral